Long non-coding RNA from Brassica oleracea var. oleracea, 804 nucleotides. RefSeq lists it as uncharacterized. The transcript is spliced from 2 exons. NCBI's taxonomy places the organism in Eukaryota, Viridiplantae, Streptophyta, Magnoliopsida, Brassicales, Brassicaceae. The record is from RefSeq and is a predicted model, not a curated record.
ACAAAGCGAACUAUUCUUUCGCCUUUUACUAAAGAAUACCGUGUGCUCUCUAUGCUUAAUGGCAUACGCCUAUUUUUGGAGGGUCCCACUAUCGUGGGCCCAACAACUUCUAGUUGAAAAAUUUGUCUUGUUUUUGUUUAAUUCUAGACUGGCUACAUUUAUCUUUGUCCUUGGGAAGAAAUCAAUUUUAAUUGGUUAAGUAUAAAUUUGCCACACUGAUGAUGCUUAACAAAUUCCUUCAUAAAAUCAUAAUGUGUUAACUUGAUUUAUAUUUACUUUUAUUUGUUUUAGGGACGUGAUAUCUUCUUCACAUAAGAAUCAUAUUUUUAUAAUUUUCCACCAAAAAUGUUGGCAUUGCUUAUAUUUUGAAAACAGGUUUACAGCAAGAUCUACAAUAAACAGAAAACUUGUUGGGCCUAUUCUAUGUAAGGUUCAGGCGACAUUUAUCAAUUAGGUCACCACUCGUUUCUCACAUCGGCGAUCGCCGGAGUUUCGGAAAACCGGCGAGCCAAUCAAACGAGGAAGAAGAAAUGGAUCACAGGAAGCUCCCGACGGAUUACGAUCCAGCGACUUAGAUCUCGUCUCUCGCGUUAUCAGAAAUCUCAGAUCUCGCUGCGAUUCUGAUGAAGAAGAAAGGAAUCACGGUGCUGCCAAACGUCGCCGUUACGAAACUCGGAGCUGUUGGUUCUGAGAUGGUUCAGGGACAAAGCGUUGGUGGUAGUGAAGAAGCUAAACCUUUGCAUCUUUAAGAUGUUUCGUCAAAAUAAGUUUAUUCAUUGGCUAAAAUAAUCAGAUGUUUGGGAA